UGGGAUAUAGCUCAUCGGCAGAGCACUUGCCUAAAAUGCAAAAGGUCCUGGGUUCUAGCCCCAGUAAUGCAA
Molecule: transfer RNA, 72 nt
Filed under: Mus musculus (house mouse)
Lineage: Eukaryota; Metazoa; Chordata; Mammalia; Rodentia; Muridae
Also listed under: 1 other name
Rfam family: tRNA
About the family: Transfer RNA (tRNA) molecules are approximately 80 nucleotides in length. Their secondary structure includes four short double-helical elements and three loops (D, anti-codon, and T loops). Further hydrogen bonds mediate the characteristic L-shaped molecular structure. tRNAs have two regions of fundamental functional importance: the anti-codon, which is responsible for specific mRNA codon recognition, and the 3' end, to which the tRNAs corresponding amino acid is attached (by aminoacyl-tRNA synthetases). tRNAs cope with the degeneracy of the genetic code in two manners: having more than one tRNA (with a specific anti-codon) for a particular amino acid; and 'wobble' base-pairing, i.e. permitting non-standard base-pairing at the 3rd anti-codon position.
Source: Rfam by way of RNAcentral